GACGAACGCUGGCGGCGUGCUUAACACAUGCAAGUCGAACGGAAAGGCCCUGCUUUUGUGGGGUGCUCGAGUGGCGAACGGGUGAGUAACACGUGAGUAACCUGCCCUUGACUUUGGGAUAACUUCAGGAAACUGGGGCUAAUACCGGAUAGGAGCUCCUGCUGCAUGGUGGGGGUUGGAAAGUUUCGGCGGUUGGGGAUGGACUCGCGGCUUAUCAGCUGGUUGGUGGGGUAGUGGCUUACCAAGGCUUUGACGGGUAGCCGGCCUGAGAGGGUGACCGGCCACAUUGGGACUGAGGUACGGCCCAGACUCCUACGGGAGGCAGCAGUGGGGAAUAUUGCACAAUGGGCGGAAGCCUGAUGCAGCAACGCCGCGUGCGGGAUGACGGCCUUCGGGUUGUAAACCGCUUUCGCCUGUGACGAAGCGUGAGUGACGGUAAUGGGUAAAGAAGCACCGGCUAACUACGUG
Molecule: ribosomal RNA, 468 nt
Filed under: uncultured bacterium
Lineage: Bacteria
Description: partial 16S ribosomal RNA
Rfam family: Bacterial small subunit ribosomal RNA
Source: RNAcentral